Molecule: unclassified non-coding RNA, 206 nt
Filed under: Hevea brasiliensis (rubber tree)
Lineage: Eukaryota; Viridiplantae; Streptophyta; Magnoliopsida; Malpighiales; Euphorbiaceae
Source: RNAcentral
AAAUACUAGGUGUAACAAUUAAUAAUAUUAGCCAAAAAAGAAAGACAGUGAAGCUAACGCCAAGCAGAUGCGACGGUGAGUGUUUUUCCCAUCCAACCGAAACCAACCCCACCAUUUUCUUCUUUAACAGUGAAACCUGUGUUCAACCGGUUUCCAGAACUCAGUCUGGCUUUCAUCGACUCUCCCACGUUUUGACUCAGUGGCUU